Molecule: ribosomal RNA, 496 nt
Filed under: uncultured bacterium
Lineage: Bacteria
Description: partial 16S ribosomal RNA
Rfam family: Bacterial small subunit ribosomal RNA
Source: RNAcentral
AUGAACGCUGGCGGCGUGCCUCAUACAUGCCAGUCGAGCGAACGGACGAGAAGCUUGCUUCUCUGAUGUUAGCGGCGGACGGGUGAGUAACACGUGGAUAACCUACCUAUAAGACUGGGAUAACUUCGGGAGACCGGAGCUAAUACCGGAUGAUAUUUUGAACCGCAUGGUUCAAAAGUGAAAGACGGUCUUGCUGUCACUUAUAGAUGGAUCCGCGCUGCAUUAGCUAGUUGGUAAGGUAACGGCUUACCAAGGCAACGAUGCAUAGCCGACCUGAGAGGGUGAUCGGCCACACUGGAACUGAGACACGGUCCAGACUCCUACGGGAGGCAGCAGUAGGGAAUCUUCCGCAAUGGGCGAAAGCCUGACGGAGCAACGCCGCGUGAGUGAUGAAGGUCUUCGGAUCGUAAAACUCUGUUAUUAGGGAAGAACAUAUGUGUAAGUAACUGUGCACAUCUUGACGGUACCUAAUCAGAAAGCCACGGCUAACUACGUG